Small nuclear RNA from Oryctolagus cuniculus (rabbit), 105 nucleotides. The record is from Ensembl. Lineage: Eukaryota; Metazoa; Chordata; Mammalia; Lagomorpha; Leporidae.
GAACAAAUCAGUAGCACAUAUAUUAAAAUUGGAGUGGUACAGAGAAGAUUAGCAUGGCCCCCUCAGAAGGAUGACAUGCAAAUUCAUGAAGCAUUCCAUAUUUUU